This 458-nucleotide ribosomal RNA is filed under the name Hepatozoon sp. ex Peromyscus leucopus KEA-2011. Its description in RNAcentral is "bacterial SSU rRNA". It matches the Rfam family "Eukaryotic small subunit ribosomal RNA", at positions 524 to 977 of the family's 1831-position model. Lineage: Eukaryota; Apicomplexa; Hepatozoidae. RNAcentral also lists the same sequence under 1 other name. The record is from RNAcentral.
UUUAAAUACUUUUUAAAGUAUCAAUUGGAGGGCAAGUCUGGUGCCAGCAGCCGCGGUAAUUCCAGCUCCAAUAGCGUAUAUUAAAAUUGUUGCAGUUAAAAAGCUCGUAGUUGAAUUUUUGCUAAAAAUAACCGGUCUGCUUUUAUUAAUAAAAGUGGUAUCUUGGUGUGUUCUUAGCAAUAAUGUCCUUUGAAAUGUUUUUUACUUUAUUGUAAGAAGCAAUUUUCAGGAUUUUUACUUUGAGAAAAUUAGAGUGUUUCAAGCAGGCUAACGUUUUGAAUACUGCAGCAUGGAAUAAUAAAAUAGGAUUUUAGUUCUACGUUAUUGGUUUUAAGAACUAAAUUAAUGAUUGAUAGGAGCAGUUGGGGGCAUUUGUAUUUAACUGUCAGAGGUGAAAUUCUUAGAUUUGUUAAAGACACACUACUGCGAAAGCAUUUGCCAAAGAUGUUUUCAUUAAU